This 500-nucleotide ribosomal RNA is filed under the name uncultured bacterium. RNAcentral describes it as "partial 16S ribosomal RNA". It matches the Rfam family "Bacterial small subunit ribosomal RNA", at positions 30 to 523 of the family's 1533-position model. The record is from RNAcentral.
AUUGAACGCUGGCGGAAUGCUUUACACAUGCAAGUCGAACGGCAGCACGGACUUCGGUCUGGUGGCGAGUGGCGAACGGGUGAGUAAUGUAUCGGAACGUGCCCAGUCGUGGGGGAUAACGUAGUGAAAAUUACGCUAAUACCGCAUACGAUCUAUGGAUGAAAGCGGGGGAUCGCAAGACCUCGCGCGAUUGGAGCGGCCGAUAUCAGAUUAGGUAGUUGGUGGGGUAAAGGCCCACCAAGCCAACGAUCUGUAGCUGGUCUGAGAGGACGACCAGCCACACUCGACCUGAGACACGGUCAAGACGCCUACGGGAGGCAGCAGUGGGGAAUUUUGGACAAUGGGCGAAAGCCUGAUCCAGCCAUUCCGCGUGCAGGAUGAAGGCCCUCGGGUUGUAAACUGCUUUUGUACAGAACGAAAAGGUUUCUACUAAUACUAGGAGCUCAUGACGGUACUGUAAGAAUAAGCACCGGCUAACUACGUGCCAGCCGCCGCCGUAA